CGGUUCCAACAAGUCUUGCCCAACUUUAGAUAACAAUAGCAGGCGAGCGAGACCACGCGCGCUGGGCGCAGCACCAUGCGAUCGCGAGCCUCCCGAGCCAGCCAGCAGUUUUUCAUCGUUCCGAGCCGCUGACGAGCUCGGACUAACCAGAGGCCAGUUGAAUUCGACGGCGCGGUACCAUGGUCGGAGAUGAUUCCACGAUUGGUUCGCGGUGCCGAGGACCCGGAGCCUUAAACUGGGUGCUCGGCCGGUGGAUGCCACGGUUCACUCUGGUCGUUCUUCGAUUGCAAGAAGCUCGAGGCUUCCCUCUCGACGACUCGAGAAUCUCUCUGAAAGCUCGCGGCACAACCGCAGCCCGGUUCUGGGUCGCGGACGGUGCAGAGGGUUCACAAACCGCGGUCGCGGCAGCGCGGGAGAUUCAAAAUCGGCGGCGGCUGGCGGGACGGGCCACGCGAGACUGCAUUCGCAGAAGGAGCGUACUUCAAACUGGCGCCAUGAGAUUCGACGGGGACGCAGAUAGCCCUGUCAACCCUCUUCAGAGCGCAAGGGCCACCCUCCGAGGAACACGAUCGUCCCGCGAUGCCUUUCCAACGCCUCCCACCCCGGAGACGAUCAAGAGAAUCCCUUCGGGAGAUACACGCGUCAGCAGAAGACACCGAAACCGUCCGGGUAGAGAUCGAUUCAGGAACCGAUCGGCGAAUCCUGUGACGAGUCGUGGCCGUUAUCCUUGCUUCCAAGGAAAUGAACGAUUACGCUCCGGCGAUUCGAUAAAAAAAAGGUGUCGAGCGUGUAAAUCGCGGUGUAAAACGACGCUCCGGCAUUCCGCUAUCAGCGCUUUCGAUUGCGCCGAUCGGGCAUCGUGUCCCUCGUUUGUUCCGGUUGUCCGCGCGUACCGUGGAACAUUUUCGACGUUCGCAGCAAACAGUGGAAUUUUUUCGCUGGAUCUCGCUUGUUAAACGCAGCGGAACAAUCGGGUCACGCUGCUGGACCGAAAGUUUGGAAGCAUUCGUUGAUUUUCAGCGUACUUCAGCGUCGCCGUAGAUGCUUUCCACUGGAAGCGGUUCGUAGGCAUUAAAAAAUGGCAAGCUAGAAGUGAUCCCCCCAAUACCGCGUAACGAAGAUUAAUUUUUAUCGCUCGAACACGAAGUCGUGCUAUGUUUCAUUUGCGACGGCGCGACUAAUAUGGUCAACCGUUUUUGAGAUUGGACCACGACUACGUACGCGCCGAAUAUACGUUCUCUCGAGCCGGAAGAAUCAUUGCGGAUCUUUUUUCCGUAUAUAUAUAGUCGUACAUGGUGCGCUUAACAAUCUUAGCGUUACAUCGCUUGUAAAUUCUAAUGCUCCAACUCGUUUUGCGAGGUCGGCCCUGUCCUUUUUUAACCUCACAAUACAGUAAUGUCUCCCUUACUGACGCUCAGGUUGUCCACAAAAAUGGACAAUUUUGGAAGAGAAGAUACGAU
This is a non-coding RNA of Megalopta genalis, 1460 nucleotides long. Lineage: Eukaryota; Metazoa; Arthropoda; Insecta; Hymenoptera; Halictidae. The record is from RefSeq and is a predicted model, not a curated record.